GAGGGAAGAAACAUAGUAGGAUAUGUGGCUGGCUUGAAACUAGUUAUAGGUGGUUCGAUUCCCCCCUUCCUUG
This 73-nucleotide transfer RNA is filed under the name Gallotia atlantica (Atlantic lizard). Its description in RNAcentral is "tRNA-Ser". It matches the Rfam family "tRNA". Rfam says of the family: Transfer RNA (tRNA) molecules are approximately 80 nucleotides in length. Their secondary structure includes four short double-helical elements and three loops (D, anti-codon, and T loops). Further hydrogen bonds mediate the characteristic L-shaped molecular structure. tRNAs have two regions of fundamental functional importance: the anti-codon, which is responsible for specific mRNA codon recognition, and the 3' end, to which the tRNAs corresponding amino acid is attached (by aminoacyl-tRNA synthetases). tRNAs cope with the degeneracy of the genetic code in two manners: having more than one tRNA (with a specific anti-codon) for a particular amino acid; and 'wobble' base-pairing, i.e. permitting non-standard base-pairing at the 3rd anti-codon position. Lineage: Eukaryota; Metazoa; Chordata; Lepidosauria; Squamata; Lacertidae. The record is from RNAcentral.